RNAcentral lists this unclassified non-coding RNA (377 nucleotides) under soil metagenome. RNAcentral's name for it is "partial contains 5.8S ribosomal RNA, internal transcribed spacer 2, and large subunit ribosomal RNA". The stretch from base 1 to 120 matches the Rfam family "5.8S ribosomal RNA", at positions 35 to 154 of the family's 154-position model. The record is from RNAcentral.
GAUGAAGAACGCAGCGAAAUGCGAUAAGUAAUGUGAAUUGCAGAAUUCAGUGAAUCAUCGAAUCUUUGAACGCAUCUUGCGCUCCUUGGUAUUCUGAGGAGCAUGCCUGUUUGAGUGUCAUUAAAUUCUCAACUACACUGACUUUGAAUUGGUGUGGCUUGGAUUUGGGUGGGAAAAUUGUUGUGGGCUUUUUGUAUAGUCUGCUCCCCUGAAAUUGAUUAGCGGUACCUUUGUGGAACUGUCUACAGGUGUGAUCAUUAUCUACAUCCUAGACAUCUGCUGGAAUGCUGCUUUCUAAACCUUACUUGUAUUGACAAUCUUGACCUCAAAUCAGGUAGGACUACCCGCUGAACUUAAGCAUAUCAAUAAGCGGAGGA